Molecule: ribosomal RNA, 314 nt
Filed under: uncultured fungus
Lineage: Eukaryota; Fungi
Description: SSU rRNA
Rfam family: Eukaryotic small subunit ribosomal RNA
Source: RNAcentral
AUGCAUGUCUAAGUAUAAGCAAUCUAUACGGUGAAACUGCGAAUGGCUCAUUAAAUCAGUUAUCGUUUAUUUGAUAGUACCUUACUACUUGGAUAACCGUGGUAAUUCUAGAGCUAAUACAUGCUAAAAACCUCGACUUCGGAAGGGGUGUAUUUAUUAGAUAAAAAACCAAUGCCCUUCGGGGCUCCUUGGUGAUUCAUAAUAACUUAACGAAUCGCAUGGCCUUGUGCCGGCGAUGGUUCAUUCAAAUUUCUGCCCUAUCAACUUUCGAUGGUAGGAUAGUGGCCUACCAUGGUUUCAACGGGUAACGGGGA